CCUACGGGAGGCAGCAGUGAGGAAUAUUGGUCAAUGGGCGCGAGCCUGAACCAGCCAAGUCGCGUGAGGGAAGAAGGUCCUAUGGAUUGUAAACCCCUUUUGUCGGGGAGCAAAAGACGACACGCGUGGAGUUAUGAGCGUACCCGAAGAAAAAGCAUCGGCUAACUCCGUGCCAGCAGCCGCGGUAAUACGGAGGAGGCGAGCGUUAUCCGGAUUUAUUGGGUUUAAAGGGAGCGUAGGUGGAUUGUUAAGUCAGUUGUGAAAGUUUGAGGCUCAACCGUAGAAUUGCAGUUGAAACUGGUAGUCUUGAGUACAGGAGAGGUAGGCGGAAUUCGUGGUGUAGCGGUGAAAUGCUUAGAUAUCACGAAGAACUCCGAUUGCGAAGGCAGUUCACUGGACUGUAACUGACGCUGAGGCUCGAAAGUGUGGGGAUCAAACAGGAUUAGAUACCCUAGUAGUC
RNAcentral lists this ribosomal RNA (460 nucleotides) under uncultured bacterium. RNAcentral's name for it is "partial 16S ribosomal RNA". It matches the Rfam family "Bacterial small subunit ribosomal RNA", at positions 338 to 795 of the family's 1533-position model. The record is from RNAcentral.